GCCAGACAUGGUGUUGCAUGCCUGUAAUCCCAGUGACUCGGAGGCUGAGGCUGGAGGAUGGCAAGUUCAAAGCCAUCUUGAGCAACUUUGCAAGAUCCUGUGU
RNAcentral lists this small RNA (103 nucleotides) under Marmota monax (woodchuck). The record is from RNAcentral. Lineage: Eukaryota; Metazoa; Chordata; Mammalia; Rodentia; Sciuridae.